AACACAUGCAAGUCGAACGGGUAACAGGAAGCAGCUUGCUGCUUCGCUGACGAGUGGCGGACGGGUGAGUAAUGUCUGGGAAGCUGCCUGAUGGAGGGGGAUAACUACUGGAAACGGUAGCUAAUACCGCAUAAUGUCGCAAGACCAAAGAGGGGGACCUUCGGGCCUCUUGCCAUCGGAUGUGCCCAGAUGGGAUUAGCUUGUUGGUGGGGUAACGGCUCACCAAGGCGACGAUCCCUAGCUGGUCUGAGAGGAUGACCAGCCACACUGGAACUGAGACACGGUCCAGACUCCUACGGGAGGCAGCAGUGGGGAAUAUUGCACAAUGGGCGCAAGCCUGAUGCAGCCAUGCCGCGUGUAUGAAGAAGGCCUUCGGGUCGUAAAGUACUUUCAGCGGGGAGGAAGGGAGUAAAGUUAAUUACCUUUGCUCAUUGACGUUACCCGCAGAAGAAGCACCGGCUAACUCCGUGCCAGCAGCCGCGGUAAUACGGAGGGUGCAAGCGUUAAUCGGAAUUACUGGGCGUAAAGCGCACGCAGUCGGUUUGUUAAGUCAGAUGUGAAAUCCCCGGGCUCAACCUGGGAACUGCAUCUGAUACUGGCAAGCUUGAGUCUCGUAGAGGGGGGUAGAAUUCCAGGUGUAGCGGUGAAAUGCGUAGAGAUCUGGAGGA
This 668-nucleotide ribosomal RNA is filed under the name uncultured Pseudomonadota bacterium. Its description in RNAcentral is "bacterial SSU rRNA". It matches the Rfam family "Bacterial small subunit ribosomal RNA", at positions 50 to 705 of the family's 1533-position model. Lineage: Bacteria; Pseudomonadati; Pseudomonadota. The record is from RNAcentral.